This 649-nucleotide ribosomal RNA is filed under the name Triticum aestivum (bread wheat). RNAcentral's name for it is "partial small subunit ribosomal RNA". Lineage: Eukaryota; Viridiplantae; Streptophyta; Magnoliopsida; Poales; Poaceae. The record is from RNAcentral.
GAAAAAGGAGGAGAGCGUAGAGGAACAAAGGUGGGGCUGACCGCCGAUCCCAAAGGCAGCCGCGGCGGUGUCGGCGGCGAUGGUAGGAACGAGGCGGUAGAUACCGGUGGUCUCUUCCGCGGGAAGACUCUGGACGAGAACAAGUUUGGAAGAGCAGAACCGCAGUUCCGCACGAUAAGACGGAUACAAACGGUGACACCGCCGCUCUACUCCCCCUCCUUCCCUACCGUAGCUCCACAGCUACCUCCGGGAUCGAGCUCCGCCGCUCUACGUCUCUACGCCCCACCACGCCUACCUCUCCGUCGAAGUCUAGGCGCGCGUCGGCGGGCGUGAGAGGAAGGAGACGGCGGAAGGGACACCAGUCGAGGCAGAAGAGGGGCGGGAGGUAGGAGUACACAAGUCGUCGUUGGGAUCCUCCUCGAGCUCGGUGUAGCCACUUACAAGAGACGAUCCAAACCACGAUGAUGAGGCAGAAGCUAGGGUUGGUAGAGCGUGCAAGGGCUCUAGCAGCAGAAGGACCGGCCCUGCGGACCAAACACUAAGUACCGUAAACCGCGUAGACGCGAAUUUAAGAACGACCUUACCAUUUGUUGCUAAGGUAAACCAAUGGUAAUUGUUUUACUUCUUUUGGUUGUUAAAUAAAAACAUC